This 253-nucleotide ribosomal RNA is filed under the name uncultured bacterium. RNAcentral's name for it is "partial 16S ribosomal RNA". It matches the Rfam family "Bacterial small subunit ribosomal RNA", at positions 524 to 776 of the family's 1533-position model. The record is from RNAcentral.
UACGAAGGGGGCUAGCGUUGCUCGGAAUUACUGGGCGUAAAGGGAGCGUAGGCGGAUAGUUUAGUCAGAGGUGAAAGCCCAGGGCUCAACCUUGGAAUUGCCUUUGAUACUGGCUGUCUUGAGUAUGGGAGAGGUGUGUGGAACUCCGAGUGUAGAGGUGAAAUUCGUAGAUAUUCGGAAGAACACCAGUGGCGAAGGCGACACACUGGCCCAUUACUGACGCUGAUGCUCGAAAGCGUGGGGAGCAAACAGG